CCUACGGGGGGCUGCAGUGGGGGAUAUUGCACAAUGGGGGAAACCCUGAUGCAGCGACGCCGCGUGUGGGAAGACGGUCCUCUGGAUUGUAAACCACUGUCCCCAGGGACGAAGAUGACGGUACCUGGGGAGGAAGCUCCGGCUAACUACGUGCCAGCAGCCGCGGUAAUACGGAGGGAGCAAGGGUUGUUCGGAAUUACUGGGUGUAAAGGGAGCGUAGGCGGGAUGGCAAGUUGGGUGUUAAAUCUACGGGCUCAACUGGUAGUCGCACUCAAAACUGCUAUUCUUGAGUGAAGUAGAGGCAGGCGGAAUGCCUAGUGUAGCGGUGAAAUGCGUAGAUAUUAGGAGGAACACCAGUGGCGAAGGCGGCCUGCUGCGCUUUUACUGACGCUGAGGCUCGAAAGUGUGGGGAGCAAACAGGAUUAGAUACCCUUGUAGUC
Molecule: ribosomal RNA, 440 nt
Filed under: uncultured bacterium
Lineage: Bacteria
Description: partial 16S ribosomal RNA
Rfam family: Bacterial small subunit ribosomal RNA
Source: RNAcentral